This 1011-nucleotide ribosomal RNA is filed under the name uncultured bacterium. RNAcentral's name for it is "bacterial SSU rRNA". It matches the Rfam family "Bacterial small subunit ribosomal RNA", at positions 50 to 1104 of the family's 1533-position model. The record is from RNAcentral.
UAGGCAUGCAAGUCGAGCGACAAGGUUCCUUCGGGGACUGGAGGAGCGGCAAACGGGGUAGUAAGGCAUCGGAACGUACCCUUUCGUCUGGGAUAGCCUCGGGAAACUGAGUGUAAUACCGGAUAAUCUCUUCGGAGCAAAGGUCCGCCGCGUAAGGAGCGGCCGAUGUGAUACCAGCUUGUUGGUGAGGUAACGGCUCACCAAGGCGAAGACGUCUAGGGGGUGUGAGAGCAUGGCCCCCACCACUGGGACUGAGACACUGCCCAGACACCUACGGGUGGCUGCAGUCGAGAAUCUUUGGCAAUGGGCGAAAGCCUGACCAAGCGACGCUGCGUGCGGGAUGAAGGCCUUUGGGUUGUAAACCGCUGUCAGAGGGGAUCAAAGGAAACUUGAGAGAGCCUCAGAGGAAGCGCGGGCUAAGUUCGUGCCAGCAGCCGCGGUAAUACGAACUGCGCGAACGGUAUUCGGAAUCACUGGGCUUACAGGGUGCGUAGGCGGCCCACCAGGUCAGAUGUGAAAUCCCACAGCUCAACUGUGGAACUGCAUUUGAAACCGGCGGGCUUGAGUGAGCUAGAGGUAUACGGAACUUCCGGUGGAGCGGUGAUAUGUGUUGAUAUCGGAAGGAACACCAGAGGCGAAAGCGGUAUACUGGAGCUUGUCUGACGCUGAGGCACGAAAGCUAGGGUAGCGAACGGGAUUAGAUACCCCGGUAGUCCUAGCCGUAAACGAUCCGUACUAGACGGAGGGGGCUUGUCCUUCUCGGUCGCAGCGAAAGCAUUAAGUACGGCGCCUGGGGAGUAUGGUCGCAAGGCUGAAACUCAAAGGAAUUGACGGGGGCUCACACAAGCGGUGGAGCAUGUGGCUUAUUCGAGGCACGCGAAGAACCUUAUCCUAGACUUGACAUCUACGGAUACUCUGUGAAGCAGAGCCACGCUCGGUUGACGUAGACAGUGCUGCAUGCUGUCGUCAGCUCGUGCGUGAGGUGUCGGGUAGUCUUAACGAGGCGAACCG